GAAAUGCGAUACGUAAUGUGAAUUGCAGAAUUCAGUGAAUCAUCGAAUCUUUGAACGCAAAUUGCACUUCGGGGUAUCCCCUGGAGUAUGCUUCUUUGAGUAUCGGUUCUUAUCUAUCUCUAAACACUUCGUGUGUUUAACAGGUGAGAAUGGGCGUUUCGCUUUUAUCAGCGCAUCGCCUCAAGUGUACGGUUACAGCUCUUUGUGCUGCUGUAUGCGUGGAAAGAUAGGUGGCCUUGUGCUGCUCUAUUGCUAUUUUCGGAUAGCUAUCUUUUUCUCGCUGCAGCGGUCGCCGGGGAAACCUGGCGAGAGUUUGUCUUCCGACGCGUAGUCUGUGAGCUUUUAAGUGAACAGCUGCGAGUCAACAUAACAACCAAUCUGAUCUCAAAUGAAGUAAGAG
This 400-nucleotide unclassified non-coding RNA is filed under the name uncultured fungus. RNAcentral's name for it is "sequence contains ITS1". The stretch from base 1 to 105 matches the Rfam family "5.8S ribosomal RNA", at positions 50 to 154 of the family's 154-position model. The record is from RNAcentral. Lineage: Eukaryota; Fungi.